GCCGAGGCUGAUAAUGAAAAGCAGCUACUAACGAAAAGGUUCCAAAUCAAUUUACAGAUUUGGGCACAUUUAGGAGAGGGCAGUGAAAAGGCAAAUGAGACGAUUACUGUGGCUGUCUGAGCAGAUGAGAAUGGGAGGGCCACCGUAGUCUAAAGACCAAGUGGAGCAAUAUCAGACUCACUGAUAUCACAGCCAAACACAUAGGAGCCAUCUUGAUUCACCUUGAAAGGAGGAGCUGGAAAACGUUGCUGGGGAGAGGGAAGUCUGGACUACCUGCUUAACUUGCUGCCACCACGACCCAGCCCCAGAUAAGUGGCAGAAAAUGGAUGGAUGGAUGUCCUGGAUUCACCUAAUAUUUUACAAUACAAUGGAUAAAGACACAGCAAUAUCAUCAGACUACAAGCGAUAAGUGUCCUGACUGAUACCACAUUGGCUGGUUUGCAAUCUACAUGAUCAGUGUUUGUUAAUAUGUUGAUGUAGAUGUAGAAACACGACAUAGAUUUGAAUUUGUUCAUCAGUAAGUUAAAUGUGCACACCUUUUUGACAGUGUGACAAGAAACCUUGAAGAGUCCAGAGAAUCAUACAACCUCAAUCUGUACAGCAGUUUAAAGACUGAAAUGUCUUGAAAUGCUGGUUAUUCAAACCCAUAAGGAAGUGCCAAGACAUUUGAUUCCCUCUUUAAUGUCACUUUGCCUGUCACACCAAAACACUGAAGUAGAAUUCUUGGAAAUAGUAUCAUAUGAGAAUAUUGAAAAUUGCACAGCUUUAAAAACAAUGACUAUGAGAAGAAGUUGAAUGAAGUAAGGGUUGGUUCCUAUAUUACAAAUACUUGGUGCUAAGUGGAACAUAAUAAAAUGUGUUUAAUCAUAACUGCUGUAACAUUUUGCUAGUAGAUCAUUGCUAAUUCAUUAGUAUUACAAUAUGUGUCAACCUAAAAAGUUAUCAUUGUUUUUGCUAAUGAUUUAUAAAUCAGAAUUAUAACUAAGCAAAUGUUACUGAAUUAUUCAUGAAUGUUAAAUUGUUGCACUGGACUGCACUCUUGUUUUACUAAUGUAUGAUACAUUAUUUGUUAGUACAUUUGCUAAACAUCUGUUAAACAGUUUUACAGGCUUUUGCAGCUUUUAAUCACAGUACUGAAAC
Long non-coding RNA from Siniperca chuatsi (mandarin fish), 1140 nucleotides. RefSeq lists it as uncharacterized. The record is from RefSeq and is a predicted model, not a curated record. The transcript is spliced from 3 exons. Lineage: Eukaryota; Metazoa; Chordata; Actinopteri; Centrarchiformes; Sinipercidae.